CCUACGGGCGGCAGCAGUGGGGAAUAUUGCACAAUGGGGGAAACCCUGAUGCAGCAACGCCGCGUGAGUGAAGAAGGUUUUCGGAGGGUAAAGCUCUGUUAGCAGGGAAGAGGAAGGACGGUACCUGCAGAGGAAGCCACGGCUAACUACGUGCCAGCAGCCGCGGUAAUACGUAGGUGGCAAGCGUUGUGCGGAAGAACUGGGCGUAAAGGAGGCGUAGGCGGUUAAACAAGUUAUAUGUUAAAUAUAUAGGCUUAACCUGUAGAAAGCAUAUAAAACUGUUUAACUAGAGUGCAGGAGCGGUCAGUUGCAUUCCUAGUGUCGCGGUGCACUUCGUAGCGAUUAGG
RNAcentral lists this ribosomal RNA (347 nucleotides) under uncultured bacterium. RNAcentral's name for it is "partial 16S ribosomal RNA". It matches the Rfam family "Bacterial small subunit ribosomal RNA", at positions 338 to 701 of the family's 1533-position model. The record is from RNAcentral.